UGGGGAAUAUUGGACAAUGGGCGCAAGCCUGAUCCAGCCAUGCCGCGUGAGUGAUGAAGGCCCUAGGGUUGUAAAGCUCUUUCACCGGUGAAGAUAAUGACGGUAACCGGAGAAGAAGCCCCGGCUAACUUCGUGCCAGCAGCCGCGGUAAUACGAAGGGGGCUAGCGUUGUUCGGAUUUACUGGGCGUAAAGCGUACGUAGGCGGACUAUUAAGUCAGGGGUGAAAUCCCGGGGCUCAACCCCGGAACUGCCUUUGAUACUGGUAGUCUUGAGUUCGAGAGAGGUGGGUGGAAUUCCGAGUGUAGAGGUGAAAUUCGUAGAUAUUCGGAGGAAAACCAGUGGCGAAGGCGGCUCACUGGCUCGAUACUGACGCUGAGGUGCGAAAGCGUGGGGAGCAAACAGG
This 404-nucleotide ribosomal RNA is filed under the name Actinomycetes bacterium. RNAcentral describes it as "Actinobacteria bacterium partial 16S ribosomal RNA". It matches the Rfam family "Bacterial small subunit ribosomal RNA", at positions 355 to 776 of the family's 1533-position model. The record is from RNAcentral. Lineage: Bacteria; Bacillati; Actinomycetota; Actinomycetes.